UAAGGAAUAUUGGACAAUGGUCGCAAGACUGAUCCAGCCAUGCCGCGUGCAGGAAGACGGCCCUAUGGGUUGUAAACUGCUUUUGUACCAGAGAAAACCUAUCUACGUGUAGAUAGCUGAUAGUAUGGUAAGAAUAAGCAUCGGCUAACUUCGUGCCAGCAGCCGCGGUAAGACGAAGGAUGCAAGCGUUAUCCGGAUUCAUUGGGUUUAAAGGGUGCGUAGGCGGGCUUGUAAGUCAGUGGUGAAAUCUCUCAGCUUAACUGAGAAACUGCCAUUGAUACUGCAGGCCUAGAGUAUAGAUGACGUUGGCGGAAUAUGACAUGUAGUGGUGAAAUACUUAGAUGUGUCAUAGAACACCGAUUGCGAAGGCAGCUAACGAAACUAUAACUGACGCUGAGGCACGAAAGUGCGGGGAUCAAACA
Molecule: ribosomal RNA, 422 nt
Filed under: uncultured bacterium
Lineage: Bacteria
Description: bacterial SSU rRNA
Rfam family: Bacterial small subunit ribosomal RNA
Source: RNAcentral